CCCCCUUUUAAUCAGUGAAACUGAUCUCCCCGUGAAGAAGCGGGGAUAACUAUAUAAGACGAGAAGACCCCAUGGAGCUUUAAACCCAGCAACACCUAUCUUUAUACACCCUUAUAUUCACGUAACUCUACUUGCUCGGUUUUAGGUUGGGGUGACCGCGGAGCACAACAAAACCUCCACGAAAAAAGGACCAACAAUCCUUAUCCAAGAUGCACAUAUCUAAGAAUUAAUAUAUUAACUUUUAAUGAUCCGUUAUUCGAUCAACGAACCAAGUUACCCUGGGGAUAACAGCGCAAUCUACCUCGAGAGCUCCUAUCGACAGGUAGGUUUACGACCUCGAUGUUG
This 345-nucleotide ribosomal RNA is filed under the name Boophis tasymena. RNAcentral describes it as "partial 16S ribosomal RNA". It matches the Rfam family "Bacterial large subunit ribosomal RNA", at positions 2022 to 2534 of the family's 2925-position model. The record is from RNAcentral. Lineage: Eukaryota; Metazoa; Chordata; Amphibia; Anura; Mantellidae.